UGAAUUUUCUGUUUUCUAAGAUUUGAAGUAGAGGUCAGUCUAAAAUGUCAUUUCAGCUCAAGGUGUGUCGCUUUUAAGAGAAACAGAGGAAGGUUUAAUACUUCGAAACCUGAAGGAGGUUGUGAAACGGAAUCAAUGGAGAAGCCGAUCUUGUCAAAACUCAGAAAUGUCAGCUACGAUGGCGGCAAUUGGGGAGAUGACUCUGGGUUAUUUAAGCAAAGAAUACAGCUUUCGGAGCUUCCCUGCCUUAACGGCUUUCACCGAAUCUGAAAAUCAUCAAAAUCUUAAAUCAUUGAGUCACAGAUGCAAAAGACUUGGCGCAAGAUUUCUUAGGAGAUCAUAUACGAUGGAAGACUUUCCUAGCAGAGAGAGUAGCAACGAGGUCAAAGAACCCCCGGGGAAAGUAGAUAAGACAAAGAUGGUAAUCCUUAGCUUUAUGCUGCACUCAGCGGAUGGGCCCAAAAUGGCAACAAACCGAGACAGAUCAACCGAGUUCGAGACCUCAGGGAAGUGGCAAACAGGCCGUCGUGAUGGACUUACAGCGGUAUAUUAUAAAGAGCUUCAAUGUCGACCGACGGUCAGAGUCGCGACCCUCGUAAAGUCCGUAGGGCCUGAUCAAAUACCUAAAGUUAUCCUCCAUUCCUUCAACAAUUUUCCACCGUAGUAAAGAAGUAGACAAUUACCAAGGCUAUGCAUGAAGCAGUGCUGACGAUGAAAAGAAAGAGAACUGAAUUUGGCUUCCACACGGCCAAGGGCAAGGUCUACAAUUGGUCGAGGACAUGAAACCAGAGGAGACCAACAGUGAGAUACUGAAGCAAUAGAAGAAUGAAGAUCCCUUAACGAGAAGCUAUGGGUGACCGUACAAAAGAUCUAUGGACUGAACAUGAGAAACGAUAGAGAAUGGUCGCAAAUCAUCAAAUGCUUUGGCUAAUAGGAUACUCAGUGAUAUCACCAUGGGUCUGUUUAUUGUUCUAAGUAAGCUGAAGUGACCCAGCCAAUACCAUAUCUUGGCUAACUUCAAAAAAAAACGCAUUCUCCUUAAUCAUGUUUGAGGUGGACAGUCAACUUUGAUAUUUGAAUGUUUGAUUGUUAAAGCUGAUCAGAGAUCUCAUAUCUAAUAUAGGGUUGGAUAAGAAACUCUAUGGACGCCUAAAUUAUCUCCGUUGGAUGAGUAAACACUUGCUUCGAGUUAUUCCUCUAAUGAGUCUACUAGAACCCAUGGGACCUUUGUAAGCCGAUUAAAAAUAUACCAAUGUCAAACCGAGCGAAGCACUUGAAUUAUUCUCAUUACUUCCAACAUAUGAAUCCUGUCAUAUUAGAAAAAAAUGUACCCAAAGCUGCGUAAUUUUCAAAGCAAAAGUUUAAACAAGAUUUCCGGCUCAUCCGUGCAUCAAUUUUCUAUGAUUGCUUAUGCUUGAGUUCAACCAAAACCGAAUAAAAGACUCAUAUGUAAAACACACCACACCUACGACACAUAUCAUCUUCAAAACACUUUGCAAAUACAAAAUCCUCCUGCUGACCUACUUAGCCGUGCGCCAGAGCAAAAACACUCCAACCUGGACAGUAAAUUACAUCAGCGUUGAUGCCACAUUUGCAGCAUUCAAUAGCCGAAAUAAGAAAAAAAAAUUGAAUAUAUACGAGUAUGUUAGUUUUGGUCUAUA
Long non-coding RNA from Ceratitis capitata (Mediterranean fruit fly), 1661 nucleotides. RefSeq lists it as uncharacterized. The record is from RefSeq and is a predicted model, not a curated record. NCBI's taxonomy places the organism in Eukaryota, Metazoa, Arthropoda, Insecta, Diptera, Tephritidae. The transcript has 4 exons.